This is a long non-coding RNA of Ruditapes philippinarum (Manila clam), 377 nucleotides long. RefSeq lists it as uncharacterized. The record is from RefSeq and is a predicted model, not a curated record. The transcript has 2 exons. NCBI's taxonomy places the organism in Eukaryota, Metazoa, Mollusca, Bivalvia, Venerida, Veneridae.
ACAAUUUUAAAGGUAACAUAUUUUAUUUGGGUCCUCACUGAGCUUUGAAAUAAGAUUUUGAUCUUGAAAUAUUGACAUUAUAGUGCAGAGAUAGAAAUACAAACACUACGAAAGAAAAUAGAGGAGCUCGAAGAGACUAUUCGGAGAUUAGAUGGAGACGAAAGCAGAAAACACUCAAAGAUCUGCGCUAUCAUGAAGCAACGACAGGGAUGGGACGUGGAUGAAAAGCUCAAAACUAAACCAAAUGAAAUACAUCCAAAAAGUCAAAUGAAUUCACGCGUUCAGUAAACAACCCAAAUUUAAUGAAAUUUAUUAUUUCUAUUUUAUCUAUAUACCUUCUCACUAUUGUAAAAAUAAAAUAUAUGUAUUUUUGUAUA